Molecule: ribosomal RNA, 366 nt
Filed under: uncultured organism
Description: bacterial SSU rRNA
Rfam family: Bacterial small subunit ribosomal RNA
Source: RNAcentral
CGGAGGAUCCAAGCGUUAUCCGGAAUCAUUGGGUUUAAAGGGUCCGUAGGCGGGUUUAUAAGUCAGUGGUGAAAGCCCAUCGCUCAACGAUGGAACGGCCAUUGAUACUGUAGAUCUUGAAUUAUUAGGAAGUAACUAGAAUAUGUAGUGUAGCGGUGAAAUGCUCAGAGAUUACAUGGGAUACCAAUUGCGAAGGCAGGUUACUACUAAUGGAUUGACGCUGAUGGACGAAAGCGUGGGUAGCGAACAGGAUUAGAUACCCUGGUAGUCCACGCCGUAAACGAUGGAUACUAGCUGUUCGGAGCAAUCUGAGUGGCUAAGCGAAAGUGAUAAGUAUCCCACCUGGGGAGUACGUUCGCAAGAAUG